AAAAAGAUUACCAGUGCUAUCUAUUUUCUUUUUCUUCUCUUCUCUGUUUACACAGGGGUUGCUCUUUUAUCGAGAGACUCCGGCCUCCAUCGUCCCGAGAACGCUCGGCGGCUCCAGCGCUGAAACGAUCUCCUCCGCCUUAGUCGGCGAAAAGGCCCGGAUCGCGAGCCCGGGCAUCGAUUGGUGCUGCAUCUGGGACUGAUGAGACUCAUGUCCAGGAAGCGCCACCGGCAGCGCCGUCGCCGGAGAACUCGACACGAUGGAUUGAUUGCUUCAUUCUGUAAAAAGAAGUGCUCACUGCGCCAGCAAGAUGAUUAUUCGCAAAGUGCUGCUGGACUAAGACCGGGUCUCGACCUUCCAGAGGACAUAUAUCGACAUAUACAUGCCCUAAUGCCAUUACGAGACGCUGCUCGUGCGGCUUGUGUGUCGCACACAUUUCUGCAAUCAUGGAGACGCUAUCGCAACCUUACCUUAAGUAAGGAAACACUAGGUUUGAAUGUAAAUGGUAUUGAUAAAGAUGAAAUGGCAAGAGAUCUCAUCAGCAAAGUUGACGGUGAUCUCAUCAGCAAAGUUGACGGUAUUCUUAAGAAUCACUCGGGUGUUGGCAUGAAGAAACUAGAGCUUAAUCUCUACUGUUGCCGCAAGGUUGAUCACUGUUAUCUCAAUAGUUGGCUUCGCAUUGCUUUCAGAGCAGGGAUUGAAGAGCUCACCAUGUUGCUGUCUCUUACCAGUGAGGCAAAAUACAACUUCCCAUGCUCUCUUUUAUUCAGUGGGAGUGAAAAAUCAAUUCGGCAUCUUAAGCUCUCCAGCUGUGUCUUUCGUCCCAUAGCUGAGCUUGAUUGCUGGAGAAGGUUGAAAGAGUUGCUGCUGACUAAUGUGCUGAUUACGAGCGAUGAGCUAGAGUGCCUUCUUUCCACUUCUUCCAUGUUGGAGUUACUGUGGCUCUUUAGAUGCAAAGAGAUAGUUCGUGUGAAGAUACCUUGUCAGCUCCAGCGGCUCAGCUUCCUGCGAGUGGGUGAAUGCAGAAAGCUCCAGGAGAUAGAGAGCAACGCUCCAAAUAUCUCGACUUUUGACAUCAGUGGCAGUAACUUGGUAAGGAUUUCAUUUGGAGGCGCAUUGCAAGUAAAGAACAUGAGGAUAUGUUCAUAUCAGCCCAACUUUAUCUGGUACACUCGGACCAAGCUUAUGCCAUCUGUACCGAAUGUUGAAACGCCUUCGCGUAUCCUCGUAUAAUGAGAUGAUCAGUACACCAACACUACCUAGCAAAUUCAUUCACCUCAAAUACUUGCACAUUACUCUAAUUGGACACGAGGCUAUUUCACCGGCCUAUGAUUACCUUUCUCUGGUUUCUUUUCUUGUAGCUUCUCCUUGCUUGGAGACUUUUAUCUUUGUAGUACAUCAGACUGACAUGAAGCAUGAUUAGAUUGUUGGGGAUAUCUCACAUUUGAGGCAGCUGCCAGAACACUGCCAUGACAACCUAAAGAGCGUAACGAUCGUCGGCUUCUGCUCUGCUAAGAGCAUGUUCGAAUUAACACUUCAUAUCAUUAAGAACACAUCAUCGCUUCAGUGUCUCACAUUGGACACUAGUUUCGGUUCUUAUGGCUGUUCAGCCGAUAAACCUGGCGGUUGCAACCCUAUGGGGAGGGAUAUAAUCAAGGAAGCCCAUAGAGCAUUUUUGGCUAUCAGAACACACGUUGAGGGCAUAAUCCCCUCUAGAGUUAAGUUAAAUGUUUCAGGGCCUUGCAGUCGGUGCCAUGCUGUUGAACAUUAGAUGUCAACCAUGGCAUAAUUUUCUCAGUGCCUAAUCAUGUAAAAUUAUAAUGUAUGUGAUGUGUUGUUCUUUCAAUUGUCAGAAGUGCCUAGUGUUGUGUUAAAUUUCAUGAUCCGUGUGUUACCAGUUUUGUACUUGAGGACAAACAUGUGCCUCUUUGUAUAAUGAAAUGCUGAAUUACAGUAAUGUAUUGAUGGAAGUUCAUGGUGAA
Triticum aestivum (bread wheat) is the source of this 1982-nucleotide RNA transcript. RefSeq lists it as uncharacterized. Lineage: Eukaryota; Viridiplantae; Streptophyta; Magnoliopsida; Poales; Poaceae. The record is from RefSeq and is a predicted model, not a curated record. The transcript is spliced from 5 exons.